UACGGGGGGGGCGAGCGUUGUUCGGAAUUACUGGGCGUAAAGGGCGCGUAGGCGGUCUGCUAAGUUGGAUGUGAAAACUCUGGGCUUAACCCAGAGCCUGCAUUCAAAACUGACAGGCUAGAGUUCUGGAGGGGGAAGCGGAAUUCCUGGUGUAGCGGUGAAAUGCGUAGAUAUCAGGAGGAACACCGGUGGCGAAGGCGGCUUCCUGGACAGAAACUGACGCUGAGGCGCGAAAGCUAGGGGAGCAAACAGGAUUAGAUACCCUGGUAGUCCUAGCCCUAAACGAUGGAUACUUGCUGUGACUGGGAUUGAAUCCAGUCGUGGCGAAGCUAACGCAUUAAGUAUCCCGCCUGGGGAGUACGGUCGCAAGGCUGAA
This 376-nucleotide ribosomal RNA is filed under the name uncultured bacterium. RNAcentral's name for it is "bacterial SSU rRNA". It matches the Rfam family "Bacterial small subunit ribosomal RNA", at positions 524 to 898 of the family's 1533-position model. The record is from RNAcentral.